GACGAACGCUGGCGGCGUGCUUAACACAUGCAAGUCGAACGGAAAGGCCCUGCUUUUGUGGGGUGCUCGAGUGGCGAACGGGUGAGUAACACGUGAGUAACCUGCCCUUGACUUUGGGAUAACUUCAGGAAACUGGGGCUAAUACCGGAUAGGAGCUCCUGCUGCAUGGUGGGGGUUGGAAAGUUUCGGCGGUUGGGGAUGGACUCGCGGCUUAUCAGCUUGUUGGUGGGGUAGUGGCUUACCAAGGCUUUGACGGGUAGCCGGCCUGAGAGGGUGGCCGGCGACAUUGGGACUGAGAUACGGCCCAGACUCGUACGGGAGGCAGCAGUGGGGAAUAUUGCACAAUGGGCGGAAGCCUGAUGCAGCAACGCCGCGUGCGGGAUGACGGCCUUCGGGUUGUAAACCGCUUUCGCCUGUGACGAAGCGUGAGUGACGGUAAUGGGUAAAGAAGCACCGGCUAACUACGUG
RNAcentral lists this ribosomal RNA (468 nucleotides) under uncultured bacterium. Its description in RNAcentral is "partial 16S ribosomal RNA". It matches the Rfam family "Bacterial small subunit ribosomal RNA", at positions 28 to 507 of the family's 1533-position model. The record is from RNAcentral.